Molecule: non-coding RNA, 1871 nt
Organism: Prunus avium (sweet cherry)
Lineage: Eukaryota; Viridiplantae; Streptophyta; Magnoliopsida; Rosales; Rosaceae
Source: RefSeq, a predicted model, not a curated record
CCAAGAAAGUACAAGAGUCUGUCACUUUGUGUCUGAGUUUUGCAACGCUCUCCUUUCUCAUUCUGCUUUGCUCUGUUUUCUUGUUUGAUUGGUUCGUUUCUAUGCUUUUGGUACUCUGUUUUUGUGUGCAGUCGAGAGAUAAAAGGGAGUGAGCAAACAAGAAAAGGAGAGAGAAAAGGAAAAGGUGUAAGAUGAGCUGCUUUCGCUGCACUAAGAAAUCAACCAAAGAAUCAAAGAAUAAUAAUACCAACAUCAACGGCAACAAACCCAAUCAUCAAGAAGUGAAUUCAAAUGGGAAUGUUAAAAAGGAAUUGGGUGUAAAAAAGGAGGAGGCCUCUAAGGAUGACCAGUUAUCGUUGGAUGCAAAGGAGUGGAAUAUAAAGGAGGAGGUUUCUAAGGAUGGAAAAACCAACGGCAAGCGAGCACAGACAUUUACAUUUGAUGAACUUGCAGCAGCAACUGGCAAUUUCAGGUCUGAUUGCUUUCUAGGUGAAGGAGGAUUCGGAAAAGUUUACAAGGGUCACUUAGAGAAAAUUAACCAGGUUGUUGCUAUCAAGCAGCUUGAUCGUAAUGGGUGCCAAGGGAUUAGAGAGUUUGUUGUCGAAGUAUUGACGCUAAGUCUGGCUGACCACCUUAAUCUCGUCAAAUUGAUUGGGUUUUGUGCUGAGGGAGAUCAGAGGCUAUUGGUUUAUGAAUAUAUGCCAUUAGGAUCCUUGGAAAACCAUUUGCAUGAUCUUCCACCCAGCAGGAAGGCGCUCGACUGGAAUACAAGAAUGAAGAUAGCAGCUGGUGCGGCAAGGGGUUUAGAGUAUCUGCAUGAGAAAAUGCAGCCCCCUGUUAUAUAUCGUGAUCUGAAAUGCUCAAACAUUUUGCUUGGUGAGGGGUAUCAUCCAAAGUUAUCUGAUUUUGGCUUGGCCAAAGUAGGUCCCAGUGGAGAUAAGACUCAUGUUUCUACUAGAGUUAUGGGCACGUAUGGGUAUUGUGCACCUGAUUAUGCAAUGACAGGUCAGCUGACUUUUAAGUCAGAUGUUUAUAGCUUUGGGGUUGUUCUUUUGGAGCUUAUCACAGGAAGGAAAGCUAUUGAUAAUACAAAACCUGUCAAAGAGCAGAACCUGGUAGCAUGGGCAAGACCGCUGUUUAGAGACCGGAAGAGAUUUUCACAAAUGGUGGAUCCGUUGCUCCAAGGUCAGUAUCCUGUCAGGGGACUAUACCAAGCCCUUGCUAUUGCUGCAAUGUGCGUCCAGGAGCAGCCCAAUAUGCGGCCUGUCAUAACAGAUAUAGUUACAGCGUUGAAUUACCUUGCUUCCCAGAAAUAUGACCCCCAAAUACAUCCAGUUCAAAGCUCGAGAAGGGGUUCAUCUUCUCCUAUAGGGAGGAGAGAUGAUGAUAUAAGGCAGAUUGGAGGUAACGGGCCAGAGAGAGACUGAGCUGGAGGACAAAAUUAAGAAUAAAGCAGCGAAUACCAUUUUGUGGUCUUGUAGAUGAUGUGCCUAGUUAUCAAUUUUUGCGUCAUAGAAGAUAACAGGUAAUUUGGAAUAUCAUUGUUGGAUGCAAUGUGAAAACUUGACGAGCCCGGCCUUCUCGUUGACUCGAUGCAAAGAGGGAACUUGGAGGUUCUGGUGAAUGAUUUGUUAAUGUGUAGCUGGGGGUUGAGAGGGUGGUAAGUUUUGAAGUUGGUAUUUGCAUGGUGAUUGGAGAGCUGGUCUGCAAUCCUCUUUUAGCCAGAUGCUUACAAGCAUCCCCAAAACGACACCACUGUAAAAACUUAGGCUGCCAAGAGCUUUGAGUUUCUUUGGCAUCUCAACAUUUCCUGGCACUUGCACAUCUAGAGGUGCUGAUGGAGCCAUGGAAUGUACUUUUUUUGUAUGGGU